AUUGAACGCUGGCGGAAUGCUUUACACAUGCAAGUCGAGCGGCAGCGCGGGGGCAACCCUGGCGGCGAGCGGCGAACGGGUGAGUAAUGUAUCGGAACGUACCCAGUCGUGGGGGAUAACUAUCCGAAAGGAUAGCUAAUACCGCAUACGACCUGAGGGUGAAAGCGGGGGACCGAAAGGCCUCGCGCGAUUGGAGCGGCCGAUAUCGGAUUAGCUAGUUGGUGAGGUAAAGGCUCACCAAGGCGACGAUCCGUAGCGGGUCUGAGAGGACGGCCCGCCACACUGGGACUGAGACACGGCCCAGACUCCUACGGGAGGCAGCAGUGGGGAAUUUUGGGACAAUGGGGGCAACCCUGAUCCAGCCAUUCCGCGUGAGUGAAGAAGGCCUUCGGUUGUAAGA
RNAcentral lists this ribosomal RNA (400 nucleotides) under uncultured bacterium. RNAcentral's name for it is "bacterial SSU rRNA". It matches the Rfam family "Bacterial small subunit ribosomal RNA", at positions 29 to 430 of the family's 1533-position model. The record is from RNAcentral.